Molecule: long non-coding RNA, 274 nt
Filed under: Lathyrus oleraceus (garden pea)
Lineage: Eukaryota; Viridiplantae; Streptophyta; Magnoliopsida; Fabales; Fabaceae
Description: Pisum sativum (pea) long non-coding RNA (PSAT_LNC042342)
Source: RNAcentral
UAAAUCCUACUUUGUCCCCUCGCAGAGUUAAUCCUUGAUAUGCUCAUCCUAACCGGUGACGGAUUUUCUCUCCGACGGUUGCCUAUCCAGUUUUCGAUAAAUGUAAUUCCUCCCUUUUUGUUCAGUUGGUAUAUCCUUGAUAUGUUCAUCCUAACCGAUGACGGGUAUCCUCCUUAACAUCCCCAGGAAAGUCUAUCCAUGAUAUGUUCAUCUUAAUCAAUGAUGGAUUUUCUUUCCUUUGAGUUUAUCCUUGAUAUGUUCAUCUUAACCGAUG